This 377-nucleotide RNase P RNA is filed under the name Paracoccus sp. C2R09. RNAcentral describes it as "RNase P RNA component class A". It matches the Rfam family "Bacterial RNase P class A". From Rfam's summary of the family: Ribonuclease P (RNase P) is a ubiquitous endoribonuclease, found in archaea, bacteria and eukarya as well as chloroplasts and mitochondria. Its best characterised activity is the generation of mature 5'-ends of tRNAs by cleaving the 5'-leader elements of precursor-tRNAs. Lineage: Bacteria; Pseudomonadati; Pseudomonadota; Alphaproteobacteria; Rhodobacterales; Paracoccaceae. RNAcentral also lists the same sequence under 1 other name. The record is from RNAcentral.
GCGGAGGGCCGGAUGACCGUGGCGGUGCAAGCCGUCGAGGAAAGUCCGGACUCCAUGAGGUAACGGUGCCGGGUAACGCCCGGCGGGGGCAACCCCAGGGAAAGCGCCACAGAGAACAGACCGCCCGUGUCCGCACGGGUAAGGGUGAAACGGUGGGGUAAGAGCCCACCGGGGGACUGGCAACAGGACCCGCAUGGCAAGCCCCACCGGGAGCAAUGCCGAAUAGGGAUCGCGCGCGGGGGCAACCCCGCAGGGCCACCUUGCCCCAGCAGAUCCGGGUAGGCAGCUAGAUCCGGCCGGCAACGGUCGGGGCAGAUGAAUGGUCAUCCAGCCGCGCAAGCGGUGGACAGGAUCCGGCUUACAGGCCCUCCGCGCGC